GACGAACGCUGGCGGCGUGCUUAACACAUGCAAGUCGAACGGAAAGGCCCUGCUUUUGUGGGGUGCUCGAGUGGCGAACGGGUGAGUAACACGUGAGUAACCUGCCCUUGACUUUGGGAUAACUUCAGGAAACUGGGGCUAAUACCGGAUAGGAGCUCCUGCUGCAUGGUGGGGGUUGGAAAGUUUCGGCGGUUGGGGAUGGACUCGCGGCUUAUCAGCUUGUUGGUGGGGUAGUGGCUUACCAAGGCUUUGAUGGUAGCCGGCCUGAGAGGGUGACCGGCCACAUUGGGACUGAGAUACGGCCCAGACUCCUACGGGAGGCAGCAGUGGGGAAUAUUGCACAAUGGGCGGAAGCCUGAUGCAGCAACGCCGCGUGCGGGAUGACGGCCUUCGGGUUGUAAACCGCUUUCGCCUGUGACGAAGCGUGAGUGACGGUAAUGGGUAAAGAAGCACCGGCUAACUACGUG
RNAcentral lists this ribosomal RNA (467 nucleotides) under uncultured bacterium. RNAcentral's name for it is "partial 16S ribosomal RNA". It matches the Rfam family "Bacterial small subunit ribosomal RNA", at positions 28 to 507 of the family's 1533-position model. The record is from RNAcentral.